CACGUAGGGCGCGAUCGUUGUCCGGAAUUAUUGGGCGUAAAGAGCUCGUAGGCGGCCUGUUGCGUCCGCUGUGAAAGCCCGGGGCUUAACCCCGGGUCGGCAGUGGAUACGGGCAGGCUAGAGGUAGGUAGGGGAGAAUGGAAUUCCCGGUGUAGCGGUGAAAUGCGCAGAUAUCGGGAGGAACACCGGUGGCGAAGGCGGUUCUCUGGGCCUUACCUGACGCUGAGGAGCGAAAGCGUGGGGAGCGAACAGA
This 253-nucleotide ribosomal RNA is filed under the name uncultured bacterium. RNAcentral describes it as "partial 16S ribosomal RNA". It matches the Rfam family "Bacterial small subunit ribosomal RNA", at positions 524 to 776 of the family's 1533-position model. The record is from RNAcentral.